This 308-nucleotide ribosomal RNA is filed under the name uncultured bacterium. RNAcentral describes it as "bacterial SSU rRNA". It matches the Rfam family "Bacterial small subunit ribosomal RNA", at positions 492 to 793 of the family's 1533-position model. The record is from RNAcentral.
ACCGGCUAACUCCGUGCCAGCAGCCGCGGUAAAUACGGGAGGGGUGCGAGCGUUAAUCGGAAUUACUGGGGCGUAAAGCGCAUGCAGGCGGCCUGUUAAGUCAGAUGUGAAAGCCCGGGGCUUAACCUCGGAAUUGCAUUUGAAACUGGCAGGCUAGAGUCUUGUAGAGGGGGGUAGGAAUUUCAGGUGUAGCGGUGAAAUGCGUAGAGAUCUGAAGGAAUACCAGUGGCGAAGGCGGCCCCCUCGGACAAAGACUGACGCUCAGAUGCGAAAGCGUGGGGAGCAAACAGGAUUAGAUACCCUGGUAG